ACGGAAAACCCACACACCGGUAGAAUGAUAAUACAUUGUAGCGAUAAUGUUUAAUGCACGGGGUGUAGAUAUUACGGCCGUUUAUUACACGUGUACAGAACCGUAGAAAAGGGGAGAGCAAGCAGUGCCUACGCCCCGGGCCCGAUACCCGGGAGGUCGCAAAAGUCCACUAACAACCUAUAAAUAUUACAGAAAUUAAUCAGCAAAAAAAAAACCACGGUUUUU
Cinara cedri is the source of this 225-nucleotide non-coding RNA. The record is from the annotation of a GenBank genome assembly. NCBI's taxonomy places the organism in Eukaryota, Metazoa, Arthropoda, Insecta, Hemiptera, Aphididae.